RNAcentral lists this long non-coding RNA (1780 nucleotides) under Canis lupus familiaris (dog). RNAcentral describes it as "lncRNA (ENSCAFG00000031437.3)". Lineage: Eukaryota; Metazoa; Chordata; Mammalia; Carnivora; Canidae. The record is from RNAcentral.
GGUGUACAAGAUGAAGAUGCCAUAGAAGUCUACUGCUCAGUACUCAUGACUACUUAUGUCAAGUGCAGCAGAAAAACGAUGAACUUGACAUUCAAAAAAAUUUUUUUUUCUGUUUUUUGUGCUUGUUGGAGGGUACUUUUUGGAGAGAAGGCAUGGAGGAUAGGACAGGCUUAUGGGACUGCGCUGGGGGCCAGGAGGGGAGGAAGCAGAUUGACGGGGCUCAGCUCUACAGCUGGGGAGGGCCCCACAGCCUCAGAGAGACCUCCGCGGGGGAGCCAGGACCUGGGGGCUCCCAGCUUCCUCCUGACAUUUCCCCAAAGCCACUGCUGGAUGGCGAGGUGACCCCCCCUCCCGGCCUGGGAUUCAGGAUCCCACUGAGGGUCUGACAGCCAGAACUCCCGGAAAAGGGUGGAGCCAGAAGAGCCCGGCCCCAGCUCCCCCCGCCCGCCCGGUGGUCACAGGAUGCAGGGGGAGAAUCUGGUGGCCACGGGGUUAGUGGCUCCAGAUGUCACCUCGCUGAGGGAAACCUGACGCUAGUGGGGCCACCAUCCCCAGGAGCCAUGAGAGCCGCGCCUGUCCUGUGGCUGGCCGUCCUGCUGUGCCAGGAGCGAGCGCGGAGCCUGCUGUGCUACACCUGCCCCGGGGCGCCCAGCGACAGCCUGUGCCCACCCACCCAGUGCCUGAGGCCUGGCAUCUGCUUCGACAGUAACAUAACCACGACCUCGAGCGGUGGUGAGUCCCCAGCACCCAGAGCCCGGGGGCGGCUCGGGGAGCUGUGCUUGAGGCUCCCCCAGCCAAUCAGAGGAGUGUGGGUUUGGCAGGGGCUAGGGUCCCGCCUGCCUCAGUGUCCCCAUCCACGCAGAGAGGGGCUGGCCUUCCUGGGGAGCCGAUGGGACUGCACAGAGGAUUGGGGGGCCAUGCGCCCCAGGGAGUGGGUGACCCAGGAUGACUCCAGGAGGGUGGGAGGGCACCUCUCACACCGGGGCUCCUUGCCCACAGGAAUGCAGGUGAGGUCAAAGUACAAGGGGUGUGCUCCCUCCUGCAAGGAAGCUAAGGAGACCCUGCAGUGGAUUUUCCGGAUGAGUAGCCUGGACCAGCUGGACCAGCUGGACCCCAGCCUACCCAAGUCUGAACUGCAGAGUUUGACGUGCUGUGAAAAGGACCUCUGUAAUAGGGGGGCGCAGGCCCUGGGCCCCUGCGGGGGGCUGCUGCUCAGCCUAGCACCCGCCUCCCUCUGGGCCCUGCUGUGAGCAGCCCUGACCCCAGCACAGAGGGCAGACUUCCACGCAGCGUGCACACGAAGCAAGCUCGCUGCCCCGCACACUCACGCACUCGCAAGCGCACACGCGGACACUGCAGACCCUGUAGACCCUCAGCCGCUCCCGCCCAACCUCCCUGGCACCCAGUGCCCUGCUAGGCCAACAGGCCUGUCCCCCUUUGCAGACACCAUCAGUUAACCACUGACCCAAGAUGCAGAGCCUGUCGCGCCCUGGCCCUGACCAGACGUGACCUCUAGGACAGCAAAGCCCACAGCCCAGCCCGGGGACGGCCAACACUGUGCCAGCCGGGGCCGGAGAGAAUAAACACUUUCGACAUCGUCCUGUUCUUGGCUUGCAGUUCUGCCCCACGAGGGGAGGGUGGGUGGCGCCUGGGGCCUGCCUGGGAGGGGGACUUCCCUACCUCUUGGUUUUCCCUCAGCCAGGGGGGGCGCCCAUGGCCCCAGGGUCUAGGAGCAGUGGUCAAUUCUGGAGCCCCCCCCUCCCGCGAGGCACAGUAGGGU